Molecule: ribosomal RNA, 326 nt
Filed under: uncultured eukaryote
Lineage: Eukaryota
Description: partial 18S ribosomal RNA
Rfam family: Eukaryotic small subunit ribosomal RNA
Source: RNAcentral
CCCUUAGAUGUUCUGGGCCGCACGCGCGCUACACUGAUGAAUUCAACGAGCACUAACCUGUGCCGAAAGGUUCGGGUAAUCUUGUGGAAUUUCAUCGUGAUGGGGAUUGAUUAUUGCAAUUUUUAAUCAUAAACGAGGAAUGCCUAGUAAGCGUGAGUCAUCAGCUCACGUUGAUUACGUCCCUGCUCUUUGUACACACCGCCCGUCGCUCCUACCGAUUGAAUGUGCCAGUGAAAAGUUAGGAUUGGGCGUGGGAGACGGCAACGUAUUCCACAUCCGAGAAAAUCUUUAAACUUUCCCAUUUAGAGGAAGGAGAAGUCGUAACA